CUUGCGCGUUUUCACAACCGACACACUCCAGGCUUCAUUUCAUAUACUUUAUUGUUACAGUUUGGUGGCGGCCAGCUGAAAAGCGUUUAUACCUGCCGGUGUGUAUUUUUAUUGCUGACACACAUGUGAAAAGAUAUGAAACUUUUCAUUGGCCGUUCCGUAUACAUAUCUGCGACAUUUUAACAGUGUUCACCUGCACUUCAAAUUUCUCUCAUGUUCUGCCACCUCACUGGAUUGUGAACCAAAUUUUUUAUACACAGUAAUACUGCCAUCAGUGCUGUAUACAAAUUGUAAUGGUACCGUCACUGCCGAUGCCACAAUGCAACGUCCCGACAGAUCCAUUUUGAAGUAAUACUGCAGUCGCAAUUUUCUCAGCUUUUUAUGAGUAACCACAACUCCUAUUUUGCUACUGCAAGGUCGAGGCAGAUUUCCACUGCGACUUCCUCGUCCACCUGCUUGCUGCGCAGAGGGGGAGCAGAACACGUGUACCCCUCCCUUACACGCACCAAUUACUACAAUGAGCAAAUGAAAGGCUGUUUCCCAUCCGGCCACUGUAGGGGGUCCAAGAGAAAGGAGAGUGGAGCCACACAAGAGGAGAGCCACAUAAUUGUCCUUCCUGCUCUUGACGUACACACACGUACAUUGGCGACAACCGCUGUUUGUCAUCACCCUUGUUGAUAGUCGUUACCUUACUUGCAUUUGGAUCGCCGCAAAGGUCGACUUUCCAUUUGUCUCUCAGCACACAUAAAGCAAUUUCAUUUCUGAAAUAGUCGUCCAGGUCAAACUUCAUUUGGCUUUACAUUUUCAUAAAAAAAGUUAGUAGAGUUGCUAUUUUUAGCCUGUGAUUGUCCAGUGUUUUAAUACUAUCGUAAUGAAAAUGCAUAUUGCUUCAUAUUUAAACAACUUUUGCACGUUCCCGUUUCUAAAUGAUCAUGUGAGCAAUUAUUUUUUACAUUCUAAAUGCUUAAUACUUGGACUUUAUCUGCAUUGAAAGAAAAUGUCAUGGGGGGACAAUGAUGUAAUCUUUGAAUAUUGUAGCACUCACUAAACAUAAAAAUAACACUAAAGUGUUAAUAAAGAUAACACUGAUGUCACAAACAAAUUUAACCCCCCCUCCCCCAAAAUAUAGUAAAUUUACAUGAAUAAAGUUUCAUAUCAGUAUAAGAGAAAAGUUGAAAAGGAACUUCAAAUAAUAUUAGAAUAAAUGUUGCCCAUAUAAACCUCAUCAUUAGUUUACACUAAUUAUAUUCGCCGAUUGCUAUUGCCACGUUACUACCUGUAUUUAAAGGUGGCUCUUGCCAUCAAAGUGGGGAUUUUGAGCUUUACCGGUUCAAAUUAGUUCAAAUGAUUUUACAAUUGUUACAACCUUAUGCACACACACACACUCUCAUCCACAUGGUCUGUGUAAAAUAGUUCAAAUAUGCUUUCAAAAACAUAUUUUCCUGCAUCACAGAGCUUUGCUUCUUUCUUUUUCACCUGAGCAUCUAGAAGCGAAUCGACUAUCCAGUCCCUAAAAAGCAUGCAGUAACUCUCCUCUCAAGCUUUCCUUUUACUGUACGCGUAUAUGUGAGAGAUGCACAGCCCUCCUGACUUCACGUUCUCAGUGCGCCACAGCGUCUCUGCAGGCUAAUUGAAGUCAACCGCGGGGCGCUGCUAAUGAUCAACCUACAGCGACCCUUCACGGUCUGUCAUUUCUCGGUCCGCAGCACGGUGUGGCAUUUAGAGAGCACCUGAGGCUUAAGAAUACGAGAGAGACGAAAAAAAAAUCUGUGAUGGGGGGGGGGUUUGUCGGGGGGUAAGUAGGGAGAAUGAGGG
Molecule: long non-coding RNA, 1815 nt
Organism: Syngnathoides biaculeatus (alligator pipefish)
Lineage: Eukaryota; Metazoa; Chordata; Actinopteri; Syngnathiformes; Syngnathidae
Exons: 3
Source: RefSeq, a predicted model, not a curated record